RNAcentral lists this ribosomal RNA (269 nucleotides) under uncultured Enterobacteriaceae bacterium. Its description in RNAcentral is "partial 16S ribosomal RNA". It matches the Rfam family "Bacterial small subunit ribosomal RNA", at positions 1114 to 1382 of the family's 1533-position model. Lineage: Bacteria; Pseudomonadati; Pseudomonadota; Gammaproteobacteria; Enterobacterales; Enterobacteriaceae. The record is from RNAcentral.
GUUGCCAGCGGUUCGGCCGGGAACUCAAAGGAGACUGCCAGUGAUAAACUGGAGGAAGGUGGGGAGUGACGUCAAGUCAUCAUGGCCCUUACGAGUAGGGCUACACACGUGCUACAAUGGCAUAUACAAAGAGAAGCGACCUCGCGAGAGCAAGCGGACCUCAUAAAGUAUGUCGUAGUCCGGAUUGGAGUCUGCAACUCGACUCCAUGAAGUCGGAAUCGCUAGUAAUCGUGGAUCAGAAUGCCACGGUGAAUACGUUCCCGGGCCUU